AGGGCUAUAGCUCAGCGGUAGAGCGUCUCGUUUACACCGAGAAUGUCUACGGUUCGAAUCCGUAUGGCCCUA
RNAcentral lists this transfer RNA (72 nucleotides) under Entransia fimbriata. RNAcentral's name for it is "tRNA-Val". It matches the Rfam family "tRNA". From Rfam's summary of the family: Transfer RNA (tRNA) molecules are approximately 80 nucleotides in length. Their secondary structure includes four short double-helical elements and three loops (D, anti-codon, and T loops). Further hydrogen bonds mediate the characteristic L-shaped molecular structure. tRNAs have two regions of fundamental functional importance: the anti-codon, which is responsible for specific mRNA codon recognition, and the 3' end, to which the tRNAs corresponding amino acid is attached (by aminoacyl-tRNA synthetases). tRNAs cope with the degeneracy of the genetic code in two manners: having more than one tRNA (with a specific anti-codon) for a particular amino acid; and 'wobble' base-pairing, i.e. permitting non-standard base-pairing at the 3rd anti-codon position. The record is from RNAcentral. Lineage: Eukaryota; Viridiplantae; Streptophyta; Klebsormidiophyceae; Entransiales; Entransiaceae.